Brachypodium distachyon (stiff brome) is the source of this 125-nucleotide non-coding RNA. The record is from Rfam. NCBI's taxonomy places the organism in Eukaryota, Viridiplantae, Streptophyta, Magnoliopsida, Poales, Poaceae.
ACACUACUCCCUCCGAUCCAUAUUAAUUGUCUCAAAUUUGCCUAAAUAUGGAUGUAUCUAUGCCUAAAAAACGUCUAGAUACAUGUAAUAUUUCGAAGAUUAAUAUGGAUCGGAGGGAGUAGAAA